GACGAACGCUGGCGGCGCGCUUAACACAUGCAAGUCGAGCGAUGAAACUUUAACAGACCCCUUCGGGGCGAAGAUAAAGUGGAUUAGCGGCGACGGGGGAAUUAACCCGUGAUAACCCUGCCUUAGACAUGGGAAUGGCCCCGGAAACCGGGGUUUAAUACAAAAAAAAUUCAUAUUACACAAUGUCAUACCGAUCAAAACUCCGGUGGUCUAAGAUGGACUCGCGUCCCAUUAGCUAGUUGGUAGAGUAAAAGCCUACCAAGGCGACGAUGGGUAGCCGGCCUGAGAGGGUGAACGGCCACAUUGGAACUGAGAAACGGUCCAAACUCCUACGGGAGGCAGCAGUGGGGAAUAUUGCACAAUGGAGGGAACUCUGAUGCAGCGACGCCGCGUGAACGAAGAAGGCUUUCGAGUCGUAAAGUUCUUUUAUAUGGGAAGAUAAUGACGGUACCAUAAGAAAAAGCCCCGGCUAACUACGUG
Molecule: ribosomal RNA, 480 nt
Filed under: uncultured bacterium
Lineage: Bacteria
Description: partial 16S ribosomal RNA
Rfam family: Bacterial small subunit ribosomal RNA
Source: RNAcentral